This 417-nucleotide ribosomal RNA is filed under the name Triticum aestivum (bread wheat). RNAcentral's name for it is "partial small subunit ribosomal RNA". Lineage: Eukaryota; Viridiplantae; Streptophyta; Magnoliopsida; Poales; Poaceae. The record is from RNAcentral.
AUGUGUGGUGGAUGCGGAUGUACGCGUGGGGACACGCGGGAGACGUCGUGUUGUUUCCGGAAGCGGCGCCAUAAAUCCGCGCACCCUUCUCCCAUGGCUCACUCUCUCCUCUCUUCACACUCUCAUCGACGACUGAGCACCGACAGCGAGCAUCGGUGGCAAGAUCGGGACAAAGGGCAACGUCACCUCUCCUUCACACGUCCGGCAAUGGCAAAUGACAAGCUCGUCCUCAACAAUGCAGCUUCAGGGAACUCCUCAAAGGGCAAGAAUGUUUUAUUUGACAAGAAGGGCAAGGUGAUGGUGGAGCUCGCAACGCCCCGAAGAGGCGUAAGAACUAUGACCACUUCCAUGAGGACGUCAAGUCACUUAUGCAAGGUCAUACUUGCACCCCUAGUUGGAGUGUCUGCCGCCCUGUGA